This 413-nucleotide ribosomal RNA is filed under the name Hermosita hakunamatata. RNAcentral describes it as "partial 16S ribosomal RNA". It matches the Rfam family "Archaeal large subunit ribosomal RNA", at positions 1924 to 2646 of the family's 2987-position model. The record is from RNAcentral. Lineage: Eukaryota; Metazoa; Mollusca; Gastropoda; Nudibranchia; Facelinidae.
AGCCAUCAGACGAUAUUUUUGGUUUAACCUGCCCAAUGUGAGAAUGAAUGGCCGCGGUACUCUGACCGUGCUAAGGUAGCGUAAUCAGUUGGCUUUUAAAUGGAGUCAGGUAUGAAUGGAUUAACCUGGUUUAACUGUCUUUAAAACAUUAUAUUGAAUUUACUGUUUAAGUGAAAAAGCUUAAUUUAAGAAAAGGGACGAGAAGACCCUUAGAAUUUUUUUUAAAGAAAUAUUAAUUUCUAUAAUUUUGUUGGGGCGACAGAGAAAUAUUUAUAACUUUCUGUUAAUAUACAUGCCGAUUAUUUUAUGAAAGAAUAAAUUACCUGAGGGAUAACAGCAUAAUUCUAAAGAUGAGUUUGUGACCUCGAUGUUGGACUAGGAAACUAGUAAGUUAGCCGUUUACUGUGUGGGUU